RNAcentral lists this transfer RNA (84 nucleotides) under Candidatus Nealsoniibacteriota bacterium. Its description in RNAcentral is "Candidatus Nealsonbacteria bacterium tRNA-Leu". It matches the Rfam family "tRNA". From Rfam's summary of the family: Transfer RNA (tRNA) molecules are approximately 80 nucleotides in length. Their secondary structure includes four short double-helical elements and three loops (D, anti-codon, and T loops). The record is from RNAcentral. Lineage: Bacteria; Candidatus Nealsoniibacteriota.
GCCGAAGUGGCGGAGCUGGUAUACGCGGUAGAUUCAAAAUCUACUGCCCGCAAGGGCUUGUGGGUUCGAGUCCCACCUUCGGCA